This is a long non-coding RNA of Plodia interpunctella (Indianmeal moth), 645 nucleotides long. RefSeq lists it as uncharacterized. The record is from RefSeq and is a predicted model, not a curated record. NCBI's taxonomy places the organism in Eukaryota, Metazoa, Arthropoda, Insecta, Lepidoptera, Pyralidae. The transcript has 2 exons.
AUAUACAAAACAUGUGCUGAUGCCGCUGGCUUUUGUGUUUUUUGUGUUCCCCUUGUAUAAUAUAGGAUAAAUUUAUAUUAAUAUGGGAUGAUAUCCUUAUACGAUAAUCAUUAUGGCUAUAAAAUACAGAUUGAAAUCUGCAAACCUAUAAUUUCAUAUGCGUAAGUACUUAUGGGUGACGCCUAACACGGAUGUCUAUUAUCUGCGUAUCUGUAUGUACGUACAUUGAAUACAUUUAUUAUUUUGAAGAUCAAGGACACUUUUUGUUACAUACGACGAGAACACUAGUCGGGCGUGGUCGAUCUUAAUUGUGUAUAUAAGGCGGGACCCAACUAUCCAAGUUAUUACUUGUGGUGCCUCCUCAAAGUAAAACUUCAACAUGUUCUUCAGACUGUUCGCUCUUUUCGCUGUUCUGGCUGUGGCCUUCGCCAGCCCCAAGCCUGAGCCCCAACUGGCCUAUGCGGCUGCCCCUGGCGUCCUUCCCCUGGGUUACUCAGGGUACAGUCCCCUGGCCUACUCCGCUCCCUACGCAGCCCUGCCCUACGCCUACAACGGAUACUAUGUUCGCUAAACCAAAAAUACGACUACUGCAAAAAAAUGACACCGAUAUGCCAAAUGUGAUUUAAUAUAGUUUUUACAGCAUCA